RNAcentral lists this transfer-messenger RNA (350 nucleotides) under bacterium. It matches the Rfam family "transfer-messenger RNA". From Rfam's summary of the family: Bacterial tmRNA, also known as 10Sa RNA or SsrA, is named for its dual tRNA and mRNA-like properties. Its role is to liberate the mRNA from a stalled ribosome. The record is from RNAcentral.
GGGGAUGUAACGGUUUCGACGGGGGUGUGGAGGCAGGAAUAGCGGGCGGAUGCGCCUACCAUCCUUAAAAUGGGCAGCUUUUAUAAAUUAAAGAACAACAACGAUUCUGUUCUUCUCGCUGCUUAAUUAGCGAGCGUUCCACCCGGGAGUACCACGGCCCGGGAUGGGGCGUCGAUCAGUGGUGAACGUGCGCCGGCAAAGCUUUGCGCCGGCCAUGCAUGAUGAAGCUACCAAGUCCCUGAGGGUGACGGCUCUCGCCCGGACAAGGGAAUGUAAAUAACCGUCUGCGCCCGGAGAAGUUCCUGUUAAAACGCUUUCGGACGGGGGUUCAACUCCCCCCAUCUCCACCA